GAUGAACGCUGGCGGCGUGCCUAAUACAUGCAAGUCGAGCGAACAGAUAAGGAGCUUGCUCCUUUGACGUUAGCGGCGGACGGGUGAGUAACACGUGGGUAACCUACCUAUAAGACUGGAAUAACUCCGGGAAACCGGGGCUAAUGCCGGAUAACAUUUAGAACCGCAUGGUUCUAAAGUGAAAGAUGGUUUUGCUAUCACUUAUAGAUGGACCCGCGCCGUAUUAGCUAGUUGGUAAGGUAACGGCUUACCAAGGCAACGAUACGUAGCCGACCUGAGAGGGUGAUCGGCCACACGGGAACUGAGACACGGUCCAGACUCCUACGGGAGGCAGCAGUCGGGAAUCUUCCGCAAUGGGCGAAAGCCUGACGGAGCAACGCCGCGUGAGUGAUGAAGGUCUUCGGAUCGUAAAACUCUGUUAUUAGGGAAGAACAAAUGUGUAAGUAACUGUGCACGUCUUGACGGUACCUAAUCAGAAAGCCACGGCUAACUACGUG
Molecule: ribosomal RNA, 497 nt
Filed under: uncultured bacterium
Lineage: Bacteria
Description: partial 16S ribosomal RNA
Rfam family: Bacterial small subunit ribosomal RNA
Source: RNAcentral